UCUGCCCCUUGGUUCGGAAUAACAGUUGGAAACGACUGCUAAUACCGGAUGAUGACGUAAGUCCAAAGAUUUAUCGCCGAGGGAUGAGCCCGCGUAGGAUUAGGUAGUUGGUGUGGUAAAGGCGCACCAAGCCGACGAUCCUUAGCUGGUCUGAGAGGAUGAUCAGCCACACUGGGACUGAGACACGGCCCUGACUCCUACGGGAGGCAGCAGUGGGGAAUAUUGGACAAUGGGCGAAAGCCUGAUCCAGCAAUGCCGCGUGAGUGAUGAAGGCCUUAGGGUUGUA
This 286-nucleotide ribosomal RNA is filed under the name uncultured Sphingomonas sp. RNAcentral describes it as "partial 16S ribosomal RNA". It matches the Rfam family "Bacterial small subunit ribosomal RNA", at positions 125 to 427 of the family's 1533-position model. The record is from RNAcentral. Lineage: Bacteria; Pseudomonadati; Pseudomonadota; Alphaproteobacteria; Sphingomonadales; Sphingomonadaceae.